CUUUUUAAUAAUUUGCAGCUGUCAAAACAGUAAUGCAGAGGAAACGUCGAGAAUAUGGACACAAAAACGUCGCCGGUAUCCCCAAAAUGUGAGCGCGGAUCAUCAUUUGUUAUUGGUAAUAUGU
Molecule: long non-coding RNA, 124 nt
Filed under: Daphnia pulicaria
Lineage: Eukaryota; Metazoa; Arthropoda; Branchiopoda; Diplostraca; Daphniidae
Description: uncharacterized LOC124337462, transcript variant X1
Source: RNAcentral